Molecule: ribosomal RNA, 301 nt
Filed under: uncultured bacterium
Lineage: Bacteria
Description: partial 16S ribosomal RNA
Rfam family: Bacterial small subunit ribosomal RNA
Source: RNAcentral
CAGCCGCCACGGUAAUACGUAGGCGGCAAGCGUUGUCCGGAAUUAUUGGGCGUAAAGGGAGCGCAGGUGGGACGGUAAGUCCGUCUUAAAAGGCAGGGGCUCAGCCCCUGUAAGGGAUGGAAACUAGUAGGCUAGAGUAUCGGAGAGGAAAGCGGAAUUCCUAGUGUAGCGGUGAAAUGCGUAGAUAUUAGGAAGAACACCAGUGGCGAAGGCGGCUUUCUGGACGAAAACUGACGCUGAGGCGCGAAAGCCAGGGGAGCGAACGGGAUUAGAUACCCCCGUAGUCCCUGUCUCUUAUACA